This 71-nucleotide transfer RNA is filed under the name Aepyornis sp. RNAcentral's name for it is "tRNA-Val". Lineage: Eukaryota; Metazoa; Chordata; Aves; Struthioniformes; Aepyornithidae. The record is from RNAcentral.
CAGGACGUAGCUAUAAACUAAAGCAUUCAGCUUACACCUGAAAGAUGUCCAUAAACCCAAGACCGUCCUGA